UUGCGUGUUGCUGUGGUAUUCUUGACUGCUUUCAUUGUUGUGGUGUUGCUGUGGUGUUGUAUGUUGCUGUGGUAUUCUUGACUGCUUUUACUGUUGUGGUGUUGCUGUGGUGUUGCGUGUUGCUGUGGUAUUCUUGACUGCUUUCAUUGUUGUGGUGUUGCUGUGGUGCUGUUGUGGUAUUGUUGACUCCUUCAGUGCUGUGGUGUUGGUGUGUGUUGCUGUGAUAUUGUUCACUUUUUCAUGACUGUGGUGCUGCUGUGUAUUGUUAUGGCACUGUUCACUCUUUCCUUGCUGUGGUUGUCCUUUACUGGCAUUCAGACCACCGUAAAAACAUUAAUAUCAAUAAAUGAAUAAGUGAAAUGAAAUAAAACAAAUUGCUUGCAUGCAGGAAAAAAAAAUGCAUAUCAAUUUCACCUUUUAAAGACAACAGAAGUAUGACACAAAGACAAAUGAGUAAAGACACUGUGGGUAAUUUGUCCUUGCCUGGCAGUGGAGACGCUAAAUGUUCUGAUCUCUCAUUAGGAUCGCCUUCAAAAUCCACUGACGUAAUUUGACAGAUUCUUAUGUAUGUAUCAGUUCCAUUAGUGGUGAAGAAAUUGUGUUAAUCUCUCUAACCUUGAAGAAAUUUUUGUUAACCUCUCUAACCUAUCAUCCAAUUCAAUUUCAUUUAUUUAUUUAUUUAUUUAUUUUUUUUUUUUUUGUCGGAAGUCGUAUAUGAUCGUCUGAGUGUAAAUAUAGGUAAAUGAUACAGAUUAAGUAUAAUUUAUAUAAGUUUAAACUCGUUCCCUUGAACCCACAAAGGCCAGUUGUAGUGAUUUAGGGAUUCAACAAGAUCGUGCGACAGAGAAGCACGACAGAAUCAUCACUGCAACCUCCACCAAGAUCAAGAACGUGUUUCAUUACAACCAGAAUCUUGAAAACACUGGAAAAUUCAAAAUAACUUCAAACAGACUCUUUAACUGUCACCAGAACGUUGUAUAGAUUUGGACAAGUAAGUGGGAUUGUGAUGGUGAUGAAACACAAAAUACAGCAGAACUUUAUCGAUCUAACGUUUCGACAACUGUCUUCCUCAGAGAGCACAGACAAAGGGAAGGCGUGACAGCUCCUUCCUGCAGAUCACAGUGUGGGUCUGUCUGGGGAAGUCGUCCGCUUAACUUUGAAAACAAUCUCGAAAAACGCCGAUAAGUUCAAUAAGAGACCAUUUAUCACCAAAAUCAUGAAAAUGCUCUUGAAAAUCUUAAUAAUUUCAACAAGAGCCUCUUUGAUUACCAGCACAAUCACGAAAACACUCUUGAAAACGCCAAUAAAUUCAACAAGAGGCCGUUUAUCAUCAAAAUCAUGAAAAUAUUCUUGAAGAUCUUAACAACUUCAACAAGAGCCUCUUUCAUUACGACCAGAAUCACAAAAACACUCUAGUAAACUUAAAGUGGAGCCUGCGAAACAUCAGUAACUUCCCACAGCCUUAUUAAAAAAUUGAGAUAUGAAAACGGGUGAAGUCUGAGAAUAGAGAGAAUAGAAGGAAUGGAAAGAUGGAUUUUGAGUAUCUUAUAUUGCCAAACAAAAGGAAAUAUCGUGGUUGGAUGGUAAGGCUGACCAUACAUUCCAAAACCAACUUAUAAGAAUAGCGGUUUUCUGUGUGUGUACUCUUCCAGUGCCUUUGAGAAAACCUCUACGAAACGAAAGAAAAUGUAGAUGGCGACUCUCACUAUACAUUCCAAAACCUAAAGAUAAGAAUAAAAUAGUGUCUUUUUUUUUCAAUACCUUUCAGAAAACUUCCCCUUUUUUCUCGGUUUUUGCAUCCGAUUUCUGUAGUCUAUCAGGGCCAGGACGGUGCCUCCCAACGAAAGACUUAAGUUGUGGCAUUUGGCAAGCAUCAACCCGAGUGGAUGCCCUUCCUAACCUCGGACCGUGGCCAGGAUUCGAACCCCUGCGCCUGAGGAUCUCUCGGCCCCAAAAUCGAGCUCGGUUCCACUGUACCACGGGAUUGGAUAACUUACAUUACCAAACGAAAAGAAAAAAAAAAAUGAAUGGCAACGAUCACUACACGUAUAUUUCAAAA
This is a long non-coding RNA of Scylla paramamosain (green mud crab), 2059 nucleotides long. RefSeq lists it as uncharacterized. NCBI's taxonomy places the organism in Eukaryota, Metazoa, Arthropoda, Malacostraca, Decapoda, Portunidae. The transcript is spliced from 2 exons. The record is from RefSeq and is a predicted model, not a curated record.